CACGUAGUUAGCCGUGGCUUUCUGGUUAGAUACCGUCACACGCAUAACAGUUACUCUAUGCGCUGUUCUUCUCUAACAACAGAGCUUUACGAUCCGAAGACCUUCUUCACUCACGCGGCGUUGCUCCGUCAGACCUGCGUCCAUUGCGGAAGAUUCCCUACUGCUGCCUCCCGUAGGAGUUUGGGCCGUGUCUCAGUCCCAAUGUGGCCGAUCACCCUCUCAGGUCGGCUAUGCAUCAUCGCCUUGGUAGGCCGUUACCCUACCAACUAGCUAAUGCACCGCGGGUCCAUCUCUUAGCGAUAGCUUGCGCCACCUUUCCUCACAGAAUCAUGUGAUUCCAUGUCCUAUGCGGUAUUAGCAGUCGUUUCCGAUGUUACUCCCCCAUAUGAGGUAGGUUACCCACGUGUUACUCACCCGUUCGCCACUCACCUUGACCAAGUGCAAGCACUCGGUCGCGGUUCGUUCGACUUGCAUGUAUUAGGCACGCCG
RNAcentral lists this ribosomal RNA (489 nucleotides) under uncultured Abiotrophia sp. RNAcentral describes it as "partial 16S ribosomal RNA". Lineage: Bacteria; Bacillati; Bacillota; Bacilli; Lactobacillales; Aerococcaceae. The record is from RNAcentral.